This is a long non-coding RNA of Zingiber officinale, 2698 nucleotides long. RefSeq lists it as uncharacterized. Lineage: Eukaryota; Viridiplantae; Streptophyta; Magnoliopsida; Zingiberales; Zingiberaceae. The record is from RefSeq and is a predicted model, not a curated record. The transcript has 3 exons.
CCAUCUCUCUCAACCUCAUCUGUCUCUUCUCCUUCUUAGAUCGACGCCCUUGCUUCUCCGUCCGCGUUGUGAAACCUCGGCCACGUUGCUCGUAGUCUAGCUUGUUUUUUUUUUUGUUGGUCCAGUCCGCGGAAGAAGAAAAAAAAAGCCGCGUCGCAUCAAAAAAAGCACCGCCCGCGAGCGAGCUCCUCUCCGCGAGCCCUAGCCACCUUCCUCUCCGCGAGCGAGCUCCUCUCCGCGAGCCACCGCCCUCUCCACGAGCGAGCUCCUCUUCGCGACCAGCCACCUUCCUCGCCGCCGUUCUUCUCCUCAGCUUCAUCCGGGUGGGUUUUCACCCCGUUCCUGCUUCCUCCUCUGGCGCCCCUUGGUAGGUCGGGGGAUGAGGUGAUUGAUAGAAGGGUGGCGCGGUUGGACCCGGGGAGCGUGCUCGAUGGGUAGGUUAGGGUUCCGGGUGGCGUUGGGGUGUGCGGCCGUGUCGUGCGCCAUCGCUGCGGCGCUAGUUGGUCGGAGGCUGAGGAGCAGGAGGCAGUGGAGCCGAGCGGUGGAGCUGGUGAGGGAGUUCGAGGAGGCGUGCGCCACCCCUGUCGGGAGGCUGCGUCAGGUGGUCGAUGCCAUGGCGGUGGAGAUGCACGCAGGGCUCGCGUCGGAUGGGGGUAGCAAGCUCAAGAUGUUGCUGACCUUCAUCGAUAAACUUCCUGAUGGGUGAAAGAUUUUCUGAGAUAGUUGGAAGCCCUUAUUACAUGGCUCCAGAAGUUUUAAAACGGAAUUAUGGACCAGAAAUUGAUAUAUGGAGUGCUGGAGUUAUACUCUAUAUCUUACUGUGUGGAGUUCCACCAUUUUGGGCUGAUACAUUUUCUAUCUUAAUUGCAGAAACUGAACAGGGAGUUGCAAAGCAAGGCAGUCUUUCAUGAUCUUUCAUGAUUCACAUAUUCAAAGUUUUUAUGUGAGUAUUGAUUCUUCAUUAUUUUCUGAUAUGGUAUUGCUAAUUUAUAAAGAUUAGCUUGAACUAAACACAAUCAUUACUGUUAGUUCCAUAACAAAAUAUCUUUAGGAUUCAGAAUUGCUCAUACUUUUUUUUUUUUUUUAAUCAUAAACAUAUUCCUUAUAAUCUGGUAAGUUGAUAAUGGUCUAAUAUGUCAAAAUGUGGUAUCCUUCUUGAUGGUGAGCCAGGUUAGUUAAUGAUCGACUUUCUUGCACAUUAAAAGGGGAAUGCUCUCAAAGACGCUGGACAUUAUAGGGUGACUUUUUAAUUUGGAUAUUUUUAUUCUCUUAAGUUUUUUUUCCUUGUUGAAUAACUUCAUUUUAAUAAUUUUUCCCAAGUCAUCCUUUGCUUUACAACCUAACCAUCCACAAGCAUUGUCAAGCCUUGGCAACAUAUACAUGGAUUGGUAAGCUUUAGAAAUGUUUGAUGACAACUGUGCGGAUACUUUAUUUUUGUUUCUUAAUGAAACUUCUCUUCAUGCAUGAAGUACAUAGAAUAUCAUUGAUAAAGCUGCAGGUUGUCAAAAAAGACUAUCGGUAAUUAGGAAGCUAAUUUCAAAAUUUUCACAUUUGCAUACUUCACUGGUGAGCUGAUCAUAUCAAUAUUUCCUAGUUGUCAAAGCAAUAUUCACAAAUUACAAUUACAAUUGAAAUUGCUAGGGUUGUAAAUGAGCUACACCGAUGUUCAAGCUUGUUUAUUAGAAAACAAACUAGUGUAUUGUUGAACCAACCCCAAGAUGUUACUGAGAGCAACUAGAGAAAACAUUUUACUUGAUCCAAUAACUGAGACUUGUAUCAAUUACUCAAUUUUCACAUUUUCUAGAUAAUUUAAACUUUAAAAUAACAACAUACACAAAUACUAUCAGAAAUAUAUAAAUGUAUUAUAUUCUACAUACAUUUAAAUAGCAAAACUAAAGAAAAAGGAUCAUAAACAAACCUUAGAGAAAGCCAGACUACUAGCUUUAAAGCAUGCCCAUUUAUGUUAUUGAACUUACAACAAAUGUUCAAGCAUUUAAGCUUGUUUAUUUUAUAUAUGUUUUUUUUUCAUGCUGAAUGAACACAAAUGAACACUUGUCAGGCUGAGUAUCUAGCUUGUUCACAAACAUUCUGUUCAUUUACAGCCUUGAAAAUUGCUUUAACAUGUGAAUAUAUUUCCUUGAAGAUAUUAGCUAAGUUACUUGUUAGUGGACAGUGGACACUGUCAGUUAGCAUUUCUCAGCAAUAUGGACAUGUGAUUACAGCCAUGCUACAUUCUGCUAAAAAUACAUAUCACGUUACAUGUUUUUUACACUACCACGGGGCCGAAUUUCAUUAUAAAGUUGACUUAGUAUAGAUGAUUCAUUUAAGAUGUAAUCUAAUGAUUGAUUUUAUAGUAGAUGAAAAGAUAAUCCACUAUAAAGUUUAUCUGUAAAUAUAUUCUAUGUAAACAUAAAACAAAAGAUAUCCAAUGAUCUUCUUCUCUGCAUCUCGAGAAGUUCUAACAAUAGCAACUAGGGGGCUUAGAAAUCACAAUGAAGUUCUUCUGGUUGGUAGCAGAAAUCACAGAAAAUAGGAGGCUUAGUGCAAGAUAUUCAGGAUAUCAAGAUGACAUUAGAGGUAGUACAAUAAAUAGUAGAUCUCUUCAUCAGAGGUAGCUUUGUUCUUCUAUGCUUCCUUCACUGGAUUUGUUGUGUAGUCAUAUUUCUUUGUUCAACCAUUAUCAUGCCUAGUAAUUUGU